ACGGGUGAGUAAUGCGUAGGAAUCUACCUAGUAGUAUGGAAUAGCCAUUAGAAAUGAUGGGUAAUACUGUAUAAUCCCUGCGGGGGAAAGAUUUAUCGCUAUUAGAUGAGCCUACGUUAGAUUAGCUAGUUGGUAAGGUAAUGGCUUACCAAGGCUAUGAUCUAUAGCUGGUCUGAGAGGACGAUCAGCCACACUGGAACUGAGAUACGGUCCAGACUCCUACGGGAGGCAGCAGUGGGGAAUAUUGGACAAUGGGCGAAAGCCUGAUCCAGCUAUGCCGCGUGAGUGAAGAAGGCCUUCGGGUUGUAAAACUCUUUCAAUAGGGAAGAUAAUGACGGUACC
This 342-nucleotide ribosomal RNA is filed under the name Ehrlichia chaffeensis. RNAcentral describes it as "bacterial SSU rRNA". It matches the Rfam family "Bacterial small subunit ribosomal RNA", at positions 102 to 479 of the family's 1533-position model. The record is from RNAcentral. Lineage: Bacteria; Pseudomonadati; Pseudomonadota; Alphaproteobacteria; Rickettsiales; Anaplasmataceae.